Molecule: ribosomal RNA, 449 nt
Filed under: uncultured bacterium
Lineage: Bacteria
Description: partial 16S ribosomal RNA
Rfam family: Bacterial small subunit ribosomal RNA
Source: RNAcentral
AACGAACGCUGGCGGCAGGCUUAACACAUGCAAGUCGAACGCAUCCUUCGGGGUGAGUGGCAGACGGGUGAGUAACGCGUGGGAACGUGCCCUUCAGUUCGGGAUAACCCAGGGAAACUUGGGCUAAUACCGGAUACGUGCGAGAGCAGAAAGAUUUAUCGCUGAAGGAUCGGCCCGGGUCUGAUUAGCUAGUUGGUGGGGUAAUGGCCCACCAAGGCGACGAUCAGUAGCUGGUCUGAGAGGCUGAGCAGCCACAUUGGGACUGAGACACGGCCCAAACUCCUGCGGAAGGCAGCAGUGGGGAAUAUUGGACAAUGGGCGCAAGCCUGAUCCAGCCAUGCCGCGUGAGUGAUGAAGGCCUUAGGGUUGUAAAGCUCUUUCGUCCGGGACGAUAAUGACGGUACCGGAAGAAGAAGCCCCGGCUAACUUCGUGCCAGCAGCCGCGGUAA